UCAACCUAAACUCUGUCCACUAAUCACACUUAUAUCCAAUUAUACAUUUGACUCACACUUAACCUCAAUUAACCAUCACUUUAUCAAAGUAGAAAUUAAACACAAAGAGGAUUAGGUUUUACGUGAAUUUGGAACAUAUGAGAUCUCCUCUUCACUCUCAACACUCUCCGUGAACGGAAACGGCGCGGUGGCUCACACGUCUUCCGGCGAACAAAUCUCCUUUGUCAAUCAUAACGAUUCCCGUGCCAUCUCGGUCCUCUCAUCUUCCUCGCAACGAAAAAACAGCGGCGGAUCUUCCUCUUAAUCUUCUCCGAUCGAAACACCGCAACGACAUGGUGGAGGUCCUUCAUUAUCUCUGUUCGCCUCAAUCUCUCUUAACCGAUUCGAACUCGCCUCCCUCUCCUCAAUCAUCCGCGCGACCGGAGAAGUUUCCGGCGAUUCUUCGGCGACGAUGAAGAUGAACAGAAGUCCAGAGAAAUUCUUCAAUAUCUCAUAUUUUGUGAGAAGGAUGAUGACAGAUUUUUAGAUGUUCUUGCGAUGCAGUGACGACUGAAGGAUUCAAAGGAGAGAGUUCGAGGUUGCUAUGAGAAUGAGGAAGAAGAUUGUAGAAAUUGUAGAGUUUCUGUGAGAUUGAGGGAAAUCGAUGAUGAAGAUACAGAUGUGUUGUUGAUUACGUAGAGGUGUUGAUCGAAGGUGAUGAAGGUUCCAAAAUUUCUUGCAUCAAAUUGCAGAUAAUGAAGUUUGUGGAUAAUUGAUGGAGAUUGGUGCUGAACGAAAUUGAUGGUUCGGUGAUAUUCUGAAGGAUGGAGGAGAGUCUUUUGUUUUCCCAGAAUUGAAGAAUGAAGAGAGGUCAAGAUUGGAGAAUCUUGAUGAUUGAUGAUUGAAGGCGAUGAAGAUUGGGGAAGAAGAUUGAGAGAGAGGUCCUCAGAAAAGUUUGUUAUGGUUCUGUUAAGAUAUUUUUUACGUUAGUGAGCUUCCAAAUUCUGUUAUGCGAUUCUCAUAUCUCCCGAUCCCAAUUUUCUCUUACUGAACUUUUUCUGUUGAACCAAUUUUUUUUUGAUAUUUUUCCCUGUGAAUUCUGUUAUCGAUUUUCUGUUAUAUUGUGGCAGGCUUGUAUUGUGUCGAAAUUGCGAGUCUGAACCAGUUUUCUUUAUAUGAUUACGCAGGUGGACAUUGUGGCUGAGAACCAGUUCGAUUUAUGGUGUACCGCGAGCUGAUGGCUAUGUUUUGAUGGCGUGAGGUCUUUGCAACAAGUGUGGAAGCGGUGCCAAGUCGGUAGAGGCUUUCAUAUGCUGGUGUUGUUGACUUUGUAUUAUGCUGCAGGGGUUUGGAAAGCAUGAUGAAGAUGGAACAAGACUAAAGAUUAUAAACAAUAGAAAAUUAGUCUAGACUUAGGCAUCAAAACUUCUCCAUGUAAUUUAUGUCUUGUGAUGUAAUGAUAUGGUAAUGUAUUCUUUGGAUGGAAGUCGUAUGUAGUUGAUGAAACUUGUAAAUUCAUAAUGGAUAGACCUUUUACAAAA
Molecule: long non-coding RNA, 1520 nt
Organism: Vicia villosa (hairy vetch)
Lineage: Eukaryota; Viridiplantae; Streptophyta; Magnoliopsida; Fabales; Fabaceae
Exons: 2
Source: RefSeq, a predicted model, not a curated record